This 90-nucleotide transfer RNA is filed under the name Nitrospirota bacterium. Its description in RNAcentral is "tRNA-Ser". It matches the Rfam family "tRNA". Rfam says of the family: Transfer RNA (tRNA) molecules are approximately 80 nucleotides in length. Their secondary structure includes four short double-helical elements and three loops (D, anti-codon, and T loops). Lineage: Bacteria; Pseudomonadati; Nitrospirota. The record is from RNAcentral.
GGAGGGGUGGCUGAGUGGCCGAAAGCGCUGGUCUUGAAAACCAGAGUCGGGGCAACUCGACCGUGGGUUCGACUCCCACCCCCUCCGCCA